Salvelinus sp. IW2-2015 is the source of this 575-nucleotide long non-coding RNA. RefSeq lists it as uncharacterized. NCBI's taxonomy places the organism in Eukaryota, Metazoa, Chordata, Actinopteri, Salmoniformes, Salmonidae. The record is from RefSeq and is a predicted model, not a curated record.
AGGUCAUUUAUACUUGAGCCAACAUCUGCAGUGUUUAUUAUGAAUGCGGUCUCUGCCAAUGGUAGCGAAAUUGCUUUGAAAACGAUGCUGUCUAGUGCUCUGCUCUAUAACACGCCUCGGAUUAAAUCCCGGCCAUACUAUUACAUAUCUGCACACAAACAAAAAUAUGUCAAAGAUUUUAAUGGUGUCUGUGUCUAUGUUUGUGUCACAUGAAUGACCUCUACCAGGCCAGAGUGGGAUGAGCAUGCUGACGAACUGAUCUCGCUGCUACACUCUCAAACCUCUCUGGAGGGAAUAGAUCUGUUGGUGAGCAGCUUGACAGAGAGGUGUGCUGCCAGUGUAGUCAGUCUGAGCCAGGCCUGUUUCAACCUGAAGGACAUAAUCCUUCAAGUAAACGGUUUCUUAUGGAGGAAGGAAUACAAUGCUUACGUGAAUCGAAGAGGCGCCCAGAUUGCCAGUUACUUCUCUUGGGGAGGAGAUGCAGGAAGCUUGCUGACCAGUGCUCUGAGGAGAAGGACAAGAGGCUCAGUUGUAAUGACAACGUUUUACCGCUCUACAUGGAGAAUCAUUCAUAG